GACGAACGCUGGCGGCGUGCUUAACACAUGCAAGUCGAGCGGUAAGGCCCUUUCGGGGUACGACGAGCGGCGAACGGGUGAGUAACACGUGGGUGACCUCGCCCUCAGCUCUGGGAGUAAGCCUGGGAAACCGGGGUCUAAUACUGGAUAUGACUCCAUGACGCAUGUUGUGGGGUGGAAAGCCUUGUGCGGCUGAGGAUGGGCCCGCGGCCUAUCAGCUUGUUGGUGGGGUGAUGGCCUACCAAGGCGACGACGGGUAGCCGGCCUGAGAGGG
This 274-nucleotide ribosomal RNA is filed under the name uncultured bacterium. Its description in RNAcentral is "partial 16S ribosomal RNA". It matches the Rfam family "Bacterial small subunit ribosomal RNA", at positions 28 to 300 of the family's 1533-position model. The record is from RNAcentral.